Molecule: ribosomal RNA, 77 nt
Filed under: Vibrio alginolyticus
Lineage: Bacteria; Pseudomonadati; Pseudomonadota; Gammaproteobacteria; Vibrionales; Vibrionaceae
Also listed under: 110 other names
Description: partial 16S ribosomal RNA
Rfam family: Bacterial small subunit ribosomal RNA
Source: RNAcentral
CCACUUUGUGGUUCAUGACUGGGGUGAAGUCGUAACAAGGUAGCGCUAGGGGAACCUGGCGCUGGAUCACCUCCUUA